GUAGGUGAACCUGCGGAAGGAUCAUUAACACGAAUACAUCCAUAUUCACACUCAACGGCAACCGUUUAUCCUCCCUGCUUUACAUUCUUUUUUUCUUUAUCUUUAUCAAUCACUUGAUGAGAUAAAGCAUAGAGAUGUCAAACAGGCUAUCCGCCUUUUCCUUCCCUCGUUGAAGGAAAAUGCCCCAAUUUUCAACCAAAACCCCAAUCACCUUUCCGCUUGUGUGUGUCCUUUGUGUCCGCAGAAGCGA
This 250-nucleotide unclassified non-coding RNA is filed under the name plant metagenome. RNAcentral describes it as "partial contains small subunit ribosomal RNA, internal transcribed spacer 1, and 5.8S ribosomal RNA". The record is from RNAcentral.